RNAcentral lists this ribosomal RNA (486 nucleotides) under uncultured bacterium. Its description in RNAcentral is "partial 16S ribosomal RNA". It matches the Rfam family "Bacterial small subunit ribosomal RNA", at positions 30 to 507 of the family's 1533-position model. The record is from RNAcentral.
AUUGAACGCUGGCGGCAUGCCUUACACAUGCAAGUCGAACGGCAGCACGGGUGCUUGCACCUGGUGGCGAGUGGCGAACGGGUGAGUAAUACAUCGGAACAUGUCCUGUAGUGGGGGAUAGCCCGGCGAAAGCCGGAUUAAUACCGCAUACGAUCUACGGAUGAAAGCGGGGGACCUUCGGGCCUCGCGCUAUAGGGUUGGCCGAUGGCUGAUUAGCUAGUUGGUGGGGUAAAGGCCUACCAAGGCGACGAUCAGUAGCUGGUCUGAGAGGACGACCAGCCACACUCGGACUGAGACACGGCCCAGACUCCUACGGGAGGCAGCAGUGGGGAAUUUUGGACAAUGGGCGAAAGCCUGAUCCAGCAAUGCCGCGUGUGUGAAGAAGGCCUUCGGGUUGUAAAGCACUUUUGUCCGGAAAGAAAUCCUUGGCCCUAAUACGGUCGGGGGAUGACGGUACCGGAAGAAUAAGCACCGGCUAACUACGUG